CCAUGAUUUCACACGCAUAAUCUGGCUGUCUUCAAGACUGAAACUUGAAGAAAAGUUUAGAACUUUAACGUUCACACUCUAAAUCACACACACAGUCCCAACGCCCCCACUACUGCCUCCAGUCCACCAAGAUGCUGGAGCGAGUCCUCUCUUUCCGUGGUGCUUCUCCUCACCCCGACGACGCCGUUUCCGACUCCGACACUUUAGCCAUCUCCGGCGACGAGUCCAAGACCAAGAAACAGAGCCUUUACUUAUUGGCUGCCAAUUACAUGUCCCGCUUGUCGCACGUCUGUCCUUGUCCUACCCCGUGUCUAAUCCUCUGCCA
Molecule: unclassified non-coding RNA, 325 nt
Filed under: Hevea brasiliensis (rubber tree)
Lineage: Eukaryota; Viridiplantae; Streptophyta; Magnoliopsida; Malpighiales; Euphorbiaceae
Source: RNAcentral